RNAcentral lists this long non-coding RNA (204 nucleotides) under Phoenix dactylifera (date palm). Its description in RNAcentral is "long non-coding RNA (PDAC_LNC010520)". The record is from RNAcentral. Lineage: Eukaryota; Viridiplantae; Streptophyta; Magnoliopsida; Arecales; Arecaceae.
UGCUUUGUUUUAAUCCGGAUUUGACCAAAUUUGAUUAGGUGCAACCCAAGAGGAUUAGGCUUAGAUGAUGUGGCAAUUAGUGGUGACAUGGAAUUGGAUUUCAUGAAUUUUAAAUAAACCAAAAUUAUUGCAUGGCGCAUGGACCCAUUGCUUGACAUAUGGCGAUAUUGUUUGUUGUUUGAAUUUGAAUUCAAACAUUAAGCA